UCUCCGUUGGUGAACCAGCGGAGGGAUCAUUACAGAGUUGCAAAACUCCCAAACCAUUGUGAACGUUACCUAUCCCGUUGCUUCGGCGGGCGGCCCGGGCCCCGUGCCCGGCGCCCCCCGGCCCCCCGUGGGCGCCCGCCGGAGGUAAACCAAACUCUUUCUGUAGUCCCCUCGCGGACGUUAUUUCUUACAGCUCUGAGCAAAAAUUCAAAAUGAAUCAAAACUUUCAACAACGGAUCUCUUGGUUCUG
RNAcentral lists this unclassified non-coding RNA (250 nucleotides) under plant metagenome. RNAcentral's name for it is "partial contains small subunit ribosomal RNA, internal transcribed spacer 1, and 5.8S ribosomal RNA". The record is from RNAcentral.